AGUUAGGGUCUUCCAGGCCCGACCUCCCAACCCUAUGUUUAUUGAACCUCUGUUGCUUCGGCGGACCCGCCUCACGGCCGCCGGAGGACCGCUGCAAGGCGUCCUCUGGCCAGCGUCCGCCGAUGGCCAACCACUUAAACUCUGAAUGAAUCGUGUCAUAUGUCUAAGUCUAUGAUUAAAUUAAAGCAAAACUUUCAACAACGGAUCUCUUGGUUCUGGCAUCGAUGAAGAACGCAGCGAAAUGCGAUAAGUAAUGCGAAUUGCAGAAUUCCAGUGAGUCAUCGAAUCUUUGAACGCACAUUGCGCCCUUUGGUAUUCCGAAGGGCAUGCCUGUUCGAGCGUCAUUAUCACCCCUCAAGCCCCGUGCUUGGUGUUGGACGGCCGGUCGAGCGAUCGACCCCUCCUAAAGACAAUGACGGCGACCUGUGGUUCCCCCGGUACACUGAGCUUUUAACUGAGCACGUAUCGGACAAGGGCACCCGGGACCCGGUCCUCUCCUUUAACUAGGAAACUUCUAAGGUUGACCUCGGAUCAGGUAGGAAUACGCGCUGAACUUAAGCAUAUCAAUAAGCGCAGGAAAAG
This 582-nucleotide ribosomal RNA is filed under the name uncultured fungus. RNAcentral describes it as "eukaryotic LSU rRNA". The stretch from base 190 to 344 matches the Rfam family "5.8S ribosomal RNA". Lineage: Eukaryota; Fungi. The record is from RNAcentral.